This 299-nucleotide ribosomal RNA is filed under the name uncultured bacterium. Its description in RNAcentral is "partial 16S ribosomal RNA". It matches the Rfam family "Bacterial small subunit ribosomal RNA", at positions 773 to 1060 of the family's 1533-position model. The record is from RNAcentral.
GUGGAUUAGAUACCCUGGUAGUCCUAGCCUUAAACGUUGGGUACUGAGUAGAAAGGGGACCGAUACCCCCUUCUGCUGGAGCGAAAGUGUUAAGUACCCCGCCUGGGGAGUAUGGUCGCAAGGCUGAAACUCAAAGGAAUUGACGGGGGCUCACACCAGCGGUGGAGCAUGUGGCUUAAUUCGAGGCUACGCGAAGAACCUUAUCCUAGGCUUGACAUGUACGGAUUAGCCUCCUGAAAGGGAGGUGACAGCCCGAAAGGGUCGGAACGUAUACAGGUGCUGCAUGGUCGUCGUCAGCU